UACGGGGGGGGCAAGCGUUGUUCGGAAUUACUGGGCGUAAAGGGCUCGUAGGCGGCCAACUAAGUCAGACGUGAAAUCCCCAGGCUCAACCUGGGAACUGCGUCUGAUACUGGAUGGCUUGAAUCCGGGAGAGGGAUGCAGAAUUCCAGGUGUAGCGGUGAAAUGCGUAGAUAUCAGGAAGAACACCUAUGGCGAAGGCAGCUCUCUGGGACGGUACUGACGCUGAGACGCGAAAGCGUGGGGAGCGAACAGG
Molecule: ribosomal RNA, 253 nt
Filed under: uncultured bacterium
Lineage: Bacteria
Description: partial 16S ribosomal RNA
Rfam family: Bacterial small subunit ribosomal RNA
Source: RNAcentral